UUGGCUUCUGAUGCUUAUUGCACCACAUGUGUUUUUCUUUGAAACAAACUUGCUUUGGCGGUGGGCCCAGCCUGCCGCCAGAGGUCUAAACUUGCAACCAAUUUUUUAUCAACUUGUCACACCAGAUUAUUACUAAUAGUCAAAACUUUCAACAACGGAUCUCUUGGUUCUCGCAUCGAUGAAGAACGCAGCGAAAUGCGAUACGUAAUAUGAAUUGCAGAUAUUCGUGAAUCAUCGAAUUUUUGAACGCACAUUGCGCCCUCUGGUAUUCCGGAGGGCAUGCCUGUUUGAGCGUCGUUUCUCCCUCAAACCGCUGGGUUUGGUGUUGAGCAAUACGACUUGGGUUUGCUUGAAAGACGGUAGUGGUAAGGCGGGAUCGCUUUGACAAUGGCUUAGGUCUAACCAAAAACAUUGCUUGCGGCGGUAACGUCUACCACGUAUAUCUUCAAACUUUGACCUCAAAUCAGGUAGGACUACCCGCUGAACUUAAGCAUAUCAAAAGGCGGGAGGAA
Molecule: ribosomal RNA, 512 nt
Filed under: Candida albicans
Lineage: Eukaryota; Fungi; Ascomycota; Pichiomycetes; Serinales; Debaryomycetaceae
Description: eukaryotic LSU rRNA
Rfam family: 5.8S ribosomal RNA (bases 144-297)
Source: RNAcentral